CGGCAUGUUAUCCGAGGGCCACGGCUGCCCCCAUAGCUGCGGCAGCUCCAACAACAUGCGAGAGAAACAGAGGGGCUUUGUCAGCUUGUGUCCUUGUCCCACCGGCUGUCACUCUGCUCUCAUACAGAA
Small nucleolar RNA from Xenopus tropicalis (tropical clawed frog), 129 nucleotides. Lineage: Eukaryota; Metazoa; Chordata; Amphibia; Anura; Pipidae. The record is from Ensembl.